CCUACGGGCGGCUGCAGUGGGGAAUAUUGGACAAUGGGGGGAACCCUGAUCCAGCCAUGCCGCGUGUGUGAAGAAGGCCCUCGGGUUGUAAAGCACUUUCAGUGAGGAAGAACGCCUGGUGGUUAAUACCCAUCAGGAAAGACAUCACUCACAGAAGAAGCACCGGCUAACUCCGUGCCAGCAGCCGCGGUAAUACGGAGGGUGCGAGCGUUAAUCGGAAUUACUGGGCGUAAAGCGCGCGUAGGUGGCUUGAUAAGCCGGUUGUGAAAGCCCCGGGCUCAACCUGGGAACGGCAUCCGGAACUGUCAAGCUAGAGUGCAGGAGAGGAAGGUAGAAUUCCCGGUGUAGCGGUGAAAUGCGUAGAGAUCGGGAGGAAUACCAGUGGCGAAGGCGGCCUUCUGGACUGACACUGAUACUGAGGUGCGAAAGCGUGGGUAGCAAACAGGAUUAGAUACCCUGGUAGUC
This 465-nucleotide ribosomal RNA is filed under the name Vreelandella stevensii. RNAcentral's name for it is "partial 16S ribosomal RNA". It matches the Rfam family "Bacterial small subunit ribosomal RNA", at positions 338 to 795 of the family's 1533-position model. Lineage: Bacteria; Pseudomonadati; Pseudomonadota; Gammaproteobacteria; Oceanospirillales; Halomonadaceae. The record is from RNAcentral.